Molecule: non-coding RNA, 23 nt
Filed under: Mus musculus (house mouse)
Lineage: Eukaryota; Metazoa; Chordata; Mammalia; Rodentia; Muridae
Source: RNAcentral
UGAGUGCUGGGGUUACAGGUGAU